GAUGAAGAACGCAGCGAAAUGCGAUAAGUAAUGUGAAUUGCAGAAUUCAGUGAAUCAUCGAAUCUUUGAACGCACCUUGCGCCCUUUGGCUAUUCCGAAGGGCAUGCCUGUUUGAGUAUCAUGAAAACCUCAACUCUCAUGGCUUGCCAUGAUGAGCUUGGACUCUGGGGGUCUUGCUGGCUUUACGGUCAGCUCCUCUCAAAUAAAUCAGCUUGCCGGUGUUUGGUGGGAUCACAGGUGUGAUAACUAUCUACGCUUGUGGUUUUCCGCCAGGUAACCUUCAGCAAUGGAGGUUCGCUGGAACUCAUAAAUGUCUCUCCUCAGCGAGGACAGAUUUUGACCGUUUGAUCUCAAAUCAGGUAGGACUACCCGCUGAACUUAAGCAUAUCAAUAAGCGGAGGA
Molecule: unclassified non-coding RNA, 402 nt
Filed under: soil metagenome
Description: partial contains 5.8S ribosomal RNA, internal transcribed spacer 2, and large subunit ribosomal RNA
Rfam family: 5.8S ribosomal RNA (bases 1-121)
Source: RNAcentral